UGGCCGCGGGAUUUGACUAAGCCAUGCGAGUCAUAUGUUCUUCGUGAACAUGGCGUACUGCUCAGUAACACGUGGAUAACCUGCCCUUGGGUCUGGGAUAACCCCGGGAAACUGGGGAUAAUACCGGAUAACGCAUAUAUGCUGGAAUGCUUUAUGCGUAAAAUGGAUUCGUCUGCCCAAGGAUGGGUCUGCGGCCUAUCAGGUAGUAGUGGGUGUAAUGUACCUACUAGCCUACAACGGGUACGGGUUGUGAGAGCAAGAGCCCGGAGAUGGAUUCUGAGACAUGAAUCCAGGCCCUACGGGGCGCAGCAGGCGCGAAAACUUUACAAUGCGGGAAACCGUGAUAAGGGGACACCGAGUGCCAGCAUCAUAUGCUGGCUGUCCAGAUGUGUAAAAUACAUCUGUUAGCAAGGGCCGGGCAAGACCGGUGCCAGCCGCCGCGGUAACACCGGCGGCCCGAGUGGUGAUCGUGAUUAUUGGGUCUAAAGGGUCCGUAGCCGGUUUGGUCAGUCCUCCGGGAAAUCUGAUGGCUCAACCAUUAGGCUUUCGGGGGAUACUGCCAGGCUUGGAACCGGGAGAGGUAAGAGGUACUACAGGGGUAGGAGUGAAAUCUUGUAAUCCCUGUGAGACCACCUGUGGCGAAGGCGUCUUACCAGAACGGGUUCGACGGUGAGGGACGAAAGCUGGGGGCACGAACCGGAUUAGAUACCCGGGUAGUCCCAGCCGUAAACGAUGCUCGCUAGGUGUCAGGCAUGGCGCGACCGUGUCUGGUGCCGCAGGGAAGCCGUGAAGCGAGCCACCUGGGAAGUACGGCCGCAAGGCUGAAACUUAAAGGAAUUGGCGGGGGAGCAAAUCACUAGUGCGGCCGCCUGCAGGUCG
RNAcentral lists this ribosomal RNA (879 nucleotides) under uncultured archaeon. RNAcentral describes it as "bacterial SSU rRNA". It matches the Rfam family "Archaeal small subunit ribosomal RNA", at positions 28 to 904 of the family's 1478-position model. The record is from RNAcentral.